UACGGAGGGUGCAAGCGUUGUUCGGAAUUACUGGGCGUAAAGCGCGUGUAGGCGGUCGCUUAAGUCUGAUGUGAAAGCCCGGGGCUCACCCCCGGAAGAGCAUUGGAAACUGGGCGACUAGAGUGCCGGAGAGGAGAGUGGAAUUCCUGGUGUAGCGGUGAAAUGCGUAGAUAUCAGGAGGAACACCGGUGGCGAAGGCGGCUCUCUGGACGGAUACUGACGCUGAGACGCGAAAGCGUGGGGAGCAAACAGG
Molecule: ribosomal RNA, 253 nt
Filed under: uncultured bacterium
Lineage: Bacteria
Description: partial 16S ribosomal RNA
Rfam family: Bacterial small subunit ribosomal RNA
Source: RNAcentral